This 71-nucleotide transfer RNA is filed under the name Ametrida centurio. Its description in RNAcentral is "tRNA-Val". It matches the Rfam family "tRNA". Rfam says of the family: Transfer RNA (tRNA) molecules are approximately 80 nucleotides in length. Their secondary structure includes four short double-helical elements and three loops (D, anti-codon, and T loops). RNAcentral also lists the same sequence under 1 other name. The record is from RNAcentral. Lineage: Eukaryota; Metazoa; Chordata; Mammalia; Chiroptera; Phyllostomidae.
CAAAGCAUAGCUUAACUCUAAAGCAUCUAGCUUACACCUAGAAGAUUUCAUAUAAAUAUGACUGCUUUGAG